Non-coding RNA from Caerostris darwini, 112 nucleotides. The record is from the annotation of a GenBank genome assembly. NCBI's taxonomy places the organism in Eukaryota, Metazoa, Arthropoda, Arachnida, Araneae, Araneidae.
AACGGCCGUACCAUGCUGAAUAUACCGGUUCUCGUUAGAUCACCGAAGUCAAGCAUCAUUGGGCGCGGUCAGUACUUGGGUGGGUGACUACCUGGGAACACCGCGUGCCGUU